CCUACGGGCGGCUGCAGUGGGGAAUAUUGGACAAUGGGCGAAAGCCUGAUCCAGCAAUACCGCGUGUGUGAUGAAGGCCUGCGGGUUGUAAAACACUUUCGUUGGGGAAGAAAUGCUCAAAGCUAAUACCUUUGAGAGUUGACGUUACCCAAAGAAGAAGCACCGGCUAACUCUGUGCCAGCAGCCGCGGUAAUACAGAGGGUGCAAGCGUUAAUCGGAGUUACUGGGCGUAAAGGGCGCGUAGGGGGAUUGAAAUCCCCGGGCUUAACCUGGGAAUUGCAUUCGAUACUGGAUAUCUCGAGUAUGGUAGAGGAAAGCGGAAUUCCCGGUGUAGCGGUGAAAUGCGUAGAUAUCGGGAAGAACAUCAGGGCGAAGGCGGCUUUCUGGACCAAUACUGACACUGAGGCGCGAAAGCGUGGGGAGCAAACAGGAUUAGAUACCCUAGUAGUC
Molecule: ribosomal RNA, 450 nt
Filed under: uncultured bacterium
Lineage: Bacteria
Description: partial 16S ribosomal RNA
Rfam family: Bacterial small subunit ribosomal RNA
Source: RNAcentral